RNAcentral lists this ribosomal RNA (323 nucleotides) under uncultured bacterium. RNAcentral describes it as "bacterial SSU rRNA". It matches the Rfam family "Bacterial small subunit ribosomal RNA", at positions 28 to 334 of the family's 1533-position model. The record is from RNAcentral.
GAUGAACGCUGGCGGCGUGCCUAACACAUGCAAGUCGAGCGAAGCGAUUUGGCGGAAGUUUUCGGAUGGAAGCUAAAUUGACUGAGCGGCGACGGGUGAGUAACGCGUGGGUAACCUGCCUCAUACAGGGGGAUAACAGUUAGAAAUGACUGCUAAUACCGCAUAAUGCAACGGAAUCGCAUGACUCUGUUGCCAAAGAUUUAUCGCUCUGAGAUGGCCUCGCGUCUGAUUAGCUAGUUGGCGGGGUAACGGCCCACCAAGGCGACGAUCAGUAGCCGGACUGAGAGGUUGGCCGGCCACAUUGGGACUGAGACACGGCCCAG